CAGAUGGCAGCAUGAGCCUGGGUAUCCGGGUGAGCACUUGAAAUGUCAAAGCCAUGCAGCAAACCCUCCACAAACACCAAUUUGACACUUUCACCCCUCUUGUUACAAGCAGAGAUCUGAAACAUCUAAGCAGGUGUGUCACUUUAUUUUUAUUUUUUUAAGCGAAGGGAGAACAGCCAGUUCAUUUGCAUGAUCUCUAGCAGUUCUUUUCCAACGGAGCCAGACAGAGAUACAUGUUUAAGUGGUUGUCAUGGAAACCAGAGAGCAUUGCUCUCCCCCAAGGUCUGAAAGAAGGAUGAUGAAAAGUUUAAGCAAUCACCAUGGAAACGUAGAGGAGAUACAAGGCGGGUUCAGAUCCCAGCACACUAACAGAUCAGUCUUCAGGUGCUGAGGUCCUGGUGGAAGGUGAAUUCUGACUAUUCACUGUGGCUUCCAGAAUCAGGGCUGACCCAGAGGCCACAUCCACAGUCAUGGGCUCAGAGCAUCCCAGGGGCUCAGCAGUGAGUUUCCUCAGCAUGGCAGAAGCCCACAGAUCUGCUGUCACAAAGUGGAACCCUGCUCAGGUCUGCAGGAGAAAAGACAUUCGAAGCCCAGCCUGGUCUUUCUCUGGUCUUGACCAAGAUGUGUUCCCUUUCAUGUCUGUGAAUAACCAAAAGAAGCAAGAGGUUCCUGCCUCCCAUCACUAUUCUACACGGAGAGUGAUCUUUUACAAACAGACGUUGGGCAAUGUCCUUGCUUCUCAUCUCAUUCAAAGUAAAAUCCGCACCCUCAGAGGCUUCUCAGAGCUAACCUCAUCUCCUACUGUUGAUCUCCGACUGUUCUGCCCCCACUGCUCCAGGGUGACAUUGACUUCCUCUUAGCACAUACAGGGCUUCUGCCCUUGUGCCCUCUACCUGGAAGGCCCUUCCUCUGACAUCCUCAAGGCUCUCCCCUCCCGACUCACUUCCAUCAGAGUAAGCUCAGUGCCAUCUUAGAGAGGCCUUCCUGGCCACCCCCACUUAAAAUAACGACCCCUCAUGCCUCUCUGUCCUUAGCCGGCUGUAUAUUCCUUCAGACUCCUGAACUGAACAUCGUGUUACGUCUUUACAUGCUGUUAUUUUAUGUAUAUGAAACCCACGUUAAGAGAAAAGACGUGGAUGGGAUAAAAGAAAUACUGAAGCUAACCCAAAGAACGGAAAUAGCUACAUUAGUAUCAGGCAAAGGAGACCUCCCUCCAAAAAUGGAAUACUAUCAGGGGACAUUACUGAGGGACAUUAUACAAUGAAGAAAGGAAUUUUCCUCAAACCUGACGUAACCGAUAUCCUCAGGGCGACGACUGACUAGACAGGACGUCCGCAGCCCUCCAGACGAGGCUGGCACCGGCCACAGCGCCCUGUGGCCUCACUCCUGGCCCCCUUCCUUCAUUUAGGUCACCUGCCCGGCCCCUGUGGGCAUUUAGUUUGAGACUCUUGCUUGUGACAAGAGCCUGGCUACAGUGCCGCUGCCUCCGGGAAAGAGCUGGGUGGACACGGUUCCAGCAACCUCGCCUGCCCUUCAGGGCGGGUCAGGCGAGCCUCUCAGAAAUCCCGUCGGGGAGAGACCGGGACAAGAUGGCGCAGCCGGGGGAGCAGUCUCAGGAAAACACCCAAAUUACACGCACCUGCUCAACGACCGUCAAUAAAACAGACUGGAAACCACCGAAACAGACAUCCUGCACCCAAAGGCAAAGAAGACGCCUCACGGAGGGGCGCCCACGCCGCAGAGCGCGGAGUCACAGACACAGGAACUCAAGCGGUGGCCCCCUCGGGCGACGCCCGCCUAGCGCCGCACAGGGCGGCCGCCUGCGGCAUCUGACACCUGCUCUCUCACUGGUCCGCCAGCCGCCGCCACGCCAGCGACCCGGCGCACCCUCGCAUCUCCCUCUAACCAUGGCUCUUCCAGCUGGAGCUUCUGCCCCAAGCUGGGCCUGAGGGGCCAGCCCUGCGCCCCCUUCUUUCGCCACAGCCCACACGCAGCCCCUCCAACAAGCGGGCGCUUGGGGAGGCCCUGUACUCGCAGGACAGCCCACAAGCCCCUAACGCACGGCCACCCCUCCUCACACAGAGGUGACGGCCAGCUCAGGGUUUCCCAGAGGCGGCAGCUUCGUAAGCAGGGAGCUCCCCCUCCCAGGCAUGUCUCCCUAGGAGCAGAAAGAAGAGUAAGCCUCCGCAUCCGCCCGCCGGAAUAUUAAACGUCAUAGAGAGCUCUGAACAGGGUUCGAGCGGGUACGAAUCCAGGUCUCAACUUAGCAUUACUGCCUCACCCGGGUGCCCUGAGGCAGCUUCUAGGGCCCGGCGGGCCAGCGGAGCGCAUGCGCAGGCCCAGCUCCCCAGCAGCCGGAAGUCACGUGGUCGGCGUGCCCUCCUCGAAGUACUGCUUCCGGAAAGAGCAUGGAUGAACCGUAAAACAACCAGUCCGAAGCCAAAUGAAAAAGGAGUGGGAGGGAAGGAUGACACAGGG
Molecule: long non-coding RNA, 2478 nt
Filed under: Sus scrofa (pig)
Lineage: Eukaryota; Metazoa; Chordata; Mammalia; Artiodactyla; Suidae
Description: lncRNA (ENSSSCG00005001025.1)
Source: RNAcentral